GAUGAACGCUAGCGGCAGGCUUAACACAUGCAAGUCGAGGGGCAGCGCGAUGUAGCAAUACAUUGGCGGCGACCGGCGCACGGGUGCGUAACACGUAUGGAACUUACCCUUUACUGGGAGAUAGCCCGGAGAAAUCCGGAUUAAUAUCCCAUAAUAAACGAAGUGGCAUCACUUUGUUUUGAAAGCUCCGGCGGUAAAGGAUGGCCAUGCGCACGAUUAGCUAGUAGGUGAGGUAACGGCUCACCUAGGCUACGAUCGUUAGGGGGCCUGAGAGGGUUAUCCCCCACACUGGUACUGAGACAUGGUCCAGACUCCUACGGGAGGCAGCAGUGGGGAAUAUUGGACAAUGGGGGAAACCCUGAUCCAGCAACGCCGCGUGGAGGAUGAAGGUCUUCGGAUUGUAAACUCCUGUUAGGGGGGGCGAAGGGUCGCUGGUGAAUAUCCAGCGAACUUGACGGUACCCCCAGAGGAAGCCCCGGCUAACUCUGUGCCAGCAGCCGCGGUAAUGUACG
Molecule: ribosomal RNA, 512 nt
Filed under: uncultured bacterium
Lineage: Bacteria
Description: bacterial SSU rRNA
Rfam family: Bacterial small subunit ribosomal RNA
Source: RNAcentral